Long non-coding RNA from Camelina sativa (false flax), 569 nucleotides. RefSeq lists it as uncharacterized. The record is from RefSeq and is a predicted model, not a curated record. NCBI's taxonomy places the organism in Eukaryota, Viridiplantae, Streptophyta, Magnoliopsida, Brassicales, Brassicaceae.
UAUUCAGGGGAAUGAGGAUGUACUGUUCCAACCUCACCACUUCUUCAACAACCCCUUCCUAUUUACCAUUUUGCCACUCCACUUAUCUUUCUCCUCCUUCUCAUUUCCGAUCAUCUGACAAAAACUCGAAUCUCGUUUCCAUCUUCCGAGCAAAACCCAGAAUCUCUCAUUCCCUUGGGUGCUUUGCAUCCUCUUCAGUGGAGACGACUCCGACGACGCAGAGCAGCGAAACCAAACCUUUCUCUGUUCUUUUCGUAUGUCUCGGAAACAUCUGUCGGAGUCCAGCAGCUGAAGGUGUCUUUAGAGGUAUCGUGGAGAAGAGAGGUCUCCAUUCCAAAUUCAACAACCAUUGAUUAUCACGAGGGGGAAUAUGGCGGAUCCGAGAAUGAGACGCGCUGCGAAACGUUGAGGGAUUGAGAUAACAUCCUUAUCCAGACCGAUUAAGGCAUCUGAUUUCAGGGAGUUUGAUCUCAUUCUUGCAGUGGAUGAACAGAACAAAGGACGCGACCUCAGCCAAGAAGACCAAGAUACGCCGGACGCGACCGAGACGCAUGACCAAGACGCAUCGG